This 1433-nucleotide long non-coding RNA is filed under the name Physcomitrium patens. Its description in RNAcentral is "long non-coding RNA (PPAT_LNC001255)". The record is from RNAcentral. Lineage: Eukaryota; Viridiplantae; Streptophyta; Bryopsida; Funariales; Funariaceae.
AUGCGGCUCUGCUCUGCUGUCAAAAGCUGUUCUCAAAACCUAAGCGCCACGAAUCAAAAUUUUCCUCGCAGUCGUGAAUCUGUCCGAAAUGCCGCAUCCUCGUCGUAUCUAUCCCUCGCGCAACUGCGAUUUGCUCUUCGCUCGUGCUCUCGUCGACUCAUCCGACUCCGCGUGUUUUAAGUCGUGAAUUGUUCCUUAUUUUUAGACUCUGCACCGACUGCGUAGUUUAAUGUCGGCCAAUUGCGGUCUUGUGUUUUGAAGUCUAGAUCGUAGAGUUUCAAGCUCGAUGCGAAUGUUUUAUGUAGUCAAAGUAGAAUGCCAAGUUGUAUGAUCUGGCAGUCUAGAAAACAGCGUCAAAGCCAGAACCUCGCAUGUAUUUCUCUACCGCAUCUUUCCGUAUAAUAUCGUGUUUCAGAAGAUAAAAGAUCAAAUAAUGUCAAAUGAUAUAAACAUUAUUUAAACUCUAUGCAAACAACGGAGACAGCAAUUAACAAGUCUUUGUCGUGUGUGGUUCAUUGCGUAUCGUAACAAUCUGAUUUCCAACAAAUCGAAGUAAGGAAAUCAUUCCUUAGAAGUUUUCAGUUAAUCAUUUCUUAAACGUCAAUUACUGUAAACAUUUUCAUGAACCAGUGUUGAAAAAUUAAACUAAUCAGUGAAGCCUUCCGAAAAUGGAAACGUGAGCGCAAUUCGAAACUCAAUAGUAUCUCUCUUUACGGAGUGCACUUCCUCCACAACUAAUAAUCUUUCAGAUAAUACAACCACCCCCUCAAUGAAGAUAACCGAUCUUGAGACCAGAUGCAUGAUUGCCAACCACAGAAAGGAAAAGGCUACAUAGCAGGUGCAACCCUACGUCUACUUGUGUUUUUUUUCUAUACUCCUUCCAUUCUCAGAAGAUACGGUUGUUUUCUUCCCACCAGAACAAUCAUCUAGUGGGUGGAGUAUUUCUGUUCAUGGAUAAAGAAACAUCACGUUUUAGGAGUGUCAUAGAGUCGCAGUGGGUGUACACGUGUUUUCUAUCUAAUCAGAGUAAGAAGAAUAACAAACUAUAAUUAAGAAAGAUAUCUAUCAUUUUGUUUGGAAUCGAAGAUCUUGGGCUGGACCUCGAACAUUGGAAUUGAGGCAUUCCCUCCAUUCUUCAAAACCCUAAAUAUGGCAUUUCUCUCUACUGUGACUUAUUGAGCUUGUGCUAGUGAGGAAAGGCGUUGCUGUUUAGGGCAACAUAUCAAUUCAUCCAUAAAUGCAGGGCUCUGUUUUUGGAUUAGGCGUGCUCCCCAGAACACUGGGUUUCGCUGACUGGACUCCGAAUCAUGUUGGAUAUUCAAUGCGUGGUUCAGGACACGGUGGUCAAUGGAGAUGGAUGAAAAGGAACCGAGGAUGGAAUAAUGGAUGUAAGCACACAGAUUUCAUUCUACGAAACAAGUUGUCUGUCUCCA